GUAGGUGGCAAGCGUUGUCCGGAAUUAUUGGGCGUAAAGCGCGCGCAGGCGGUCCUUUAAGGUCUGAUGUGAAAGCCCACGGGCUCAACUGUGGAGGGUCAUUGGAAACUGGGGGACUUGAGUACAGAAGAGGAAAGCGGAAUUCCAAGUGUAGCGGUGAAAUGCGUAGAGAUUUGGAGGAACACCAGUGGCGAAGGCGGCUUUCUGGUCUGUAACUGACGCUGAGGCGCGAAAGCGUGGGGAGCAAACAGGAUUAGAUACCCUGGUAGUCCACGCCGUAAACGAUGAGUGCUAAGUGUUAGGGGGUUUCCGCCCCUUAGUGCUGCAGCUAACGCAUUAAGCACUCCGCCUGGGGAGUACGGCCGCAAAGGCUG
This 374-nucleotide ribosomal RNA is filed under the name uncultured organism. Its description in RNAcentral is "partial 16S ribosomal RNA". It matches the Rfam family "Bacterial small subunit ribosomal RNA", at positions 527 to 896 of the family's 1533-position model. The record is from RNAcentral.